Long non-coding RNA from Gordionus sp. m RMFG-2023, 353 nucleotides. RefSeq lists it as uncharacterized. The record is from RefSeq and is a predicted model, not a curated record. Lineage: Eukaryota; Metazoa; Nematomorpha; Gordioida; Chordodea; Parachordodidae. The transcript has 3 exons.
UUUGGUAAUAAAAAAUUUUUAAAAAAAAUUUCAAAAAAAAACUACUAUUUUAUUGCGAAUAUGUUUAAGAAGAUUAUUUAUACUAUUCUGAUAAUAUCAGGUGUUAUUAAACACAUUUCAAAUUUGGAUUGCAGAAAAACCAUUUUCGCUCCAGGCUGCCGAGGUAUUACAGCUAAACGUACGCAAUUAUCGUAUGUAGAUCCUGACCCUUACCAAAAUGAAGAUAUAGGAAAAAUAUAUUUUGCCAACAAAAGGAAUCCAUCUCUAUUUUAUCCGUCACUUAGGAAUUAUAGAGGUACCCGAAUAAAUAUGUUGCCACUUCCGCUUAAAAGUUAUUUAGGUCCAGCAGGUUA